Molecule: ribosomal RNA, 443 nt
Filed under: uncultured bacterium
Lineage: Bacteria
Description: partial 16S ribosomal RNA
Rfam family: Bacterial small subunit ribosomal RNA
Source: RNAcentral
CCUACGGGAGGCAGCAGUGGGGAAUAUUGGACAAUGGGGGGAACCCUGAUCCAGCGACGCCGCGUGAGUGAAGAAGUAUUUCGGUAUGUAAAGCUCUAUCAGCAGGGAAGAAAGAAAUGACGGUACCUGACUAAGAAGCUCCGGCUAACUACGUGCCAGCAGCCGCGGUAAUACGUAGGGGGCAAGCGUUAUCCGGAUUUACUGGGUGUAAAGGGAGCGUAGACGGCAAGGCAAGCCAGAAGUGAAAGGGCCGGGCUCAACCCUGUACAUGCUUUUGGAACUGUGGUGCUAGAGUGCAGGAGAGGAAAGUGGAAUUCCUGGUGUAGGAGUGAAAUGCGUAGAUAUUAAGAGGAACACCAGUGGCGAAGGCGGCUUACUGGACUAUAACUGACGUUGAGGAUCGAAAGCGUGGGGAGCAAACAGGAUUAGAUACCCGGGUAGUC